This 216-nucleotide long non-coding RNA is filed under the name Panicum hallii. RNAcentral's name for it is "long non-coding RNA (PHAL_LNC000251)". Lineage: Eukaryota; Viridiplantae; Streptophyta; Magnoliopsida; Poales; Poaceae. The record is from RNAcentral.
AGAUCAGUUGGAAGCCUCGGUAGCACCAGACCACCUCAGUAGGAGAUCCCAAGUUCAGACCCCUUUCGGAAGUGGAUUUCGGAGGUUUUCCAUAAAUUUUUCUGAACUGCUGCAAGCCUCAGCGCGUGCUGGAACUGGUGUCCAAGAUCAUCUCUUCAAGCCAGCCAUAAGAGCGUGAGUGUAAGGGUAGAAUUUAGCUUGCGCAUAUGUGUAAGU